RNAcentral lists this ribosomal RNA (253 nucleotides) under uncultured bacterium. RNAcentral describes it as "partial 16S ribosomal RNA". It matches the Rfam family "Bacterial small subunit ribosomal RNA", at positions 524 to 776 of the family's 1533-position model. The record is from RNAcentral.
UACGUAGGGGGCAAGCGUUGUCCGGAUUUAUUGGGCGUAAAGAGCGUGUAGGCGGCUAGGUAGGUCCGUUGUGAAAACUCGAGGCUCAACCUCGAGACGCCGAUGGAAACCAUCUAGCUAGAGUCCGGAAGAGGAGAGUGGAAUUCCUGGUGUAGCGGUGAAAUGCGUAGAUAUCAUGAGGAAUACCAGAGGCGAAGGCGGCUACCUGGACAAUUGCUGACGCUCAGGCACGAAAGCGUGGGGAGCAAAAGGG